RNAcentral lists this ribosomal RNA (314 nucleotides) under uncultured Streptococcus sp. Its description in RNAcentral is "bacterial SSU rRNA". It matches the Rfam family "Bacterial small subunit ribosomal RNA", at positions 1064 to 1382 of the family's 1533-position model. Lineage: Bacteria; Bacillati; Bacillota; Bacilli; Lactobacillales; Streptococcaceae. The record is from RNAcentral.
GUCGUGAGAUGUGGGUUAAGUCCCGCAACGAGCGCAACCCUAUUGUUAGUUGCCAUCAUUCAGUUGGGCACUCUAGCGAGACUGCCGGUAAUAAACCGGAGGAAGGUGGGGAUGACGUCAAAUCAUCAUGCCCUUAUGACCUGGGCUACACACGUGCUACAAUGGUUGGUACAACGAGUUGCGAGUCGGUGACGGCGAGCUAAUCUCUUAAAGCCAAUCUCAGUUCGGAUUGUAGGCUGCAACUCGCCUACAUGAAGUCGGAAUCGCUAGUAAUCGCGGAUCAGCACGCCGCGGUGAAUACGUUCCCGGGCCUU